Long non-coding RNA from Alexandromys fortis (reed vole), 6968 nucleotides. RefSeq lists it as uncharacterized. Lineage: Eukaryota; Metazoa; Chordata; Mammalia; Rodentia; Cricetidae. The transcript is spliced from 5 exons. The record is from RefSeq and is a predicted model, not a curated record.
UCUGGUCUCUUCUGAUGCAUCCGCAAGGUGAGGCAUGUAUAUGACAUGCUGGAAGUAUAUUAAGGUCGGCCAAGGUUUUUGUUCUUUCUACUGCAGUGACCAGAGAGGAGGCAGCUUAUGCAGCAGAGAGAUAAACGCUGAUCUUUGGGACAGGCAGUCAACCCUUUACAGGUCUGGCGUGACCCCUGGGAAAGCUGGUCAUCCCUGAUUACACAGGAUGGUUCGGGACACAGCUGGUAACUCCUAACUACCCAGGACAGGCUGGGACAUAGCUGGUAUUCUCUGACUACCCAGGACGGUCUGGGGGCAUAGCUGGUAAUACCUAACUACCCAGGACGGUCUGGGACAUGACUGGUAAUCCCUGACUACCCACGACAGUCUGGGGCAUAUCUGGUAAUACCUGACUAUCCAGGGCUGUCCGGGGCAUAGCUGGUAUUCUCUGACUACCCAGGUGGUCCGGGGCAUAGCUGGUAUUCUCUGACUACCCAGGACAGUCUGGGGACAUAGCUGGUAAUUCCUGAGUACUCGGGACAAUCUGGAGCAUAGUUGAUGCCUCCUAACUAUCCAGUACAGUUUGGGGCACAACUGGUAUUCCCUAACUACCUAGGACAGUUUGGGCAUAGCUGAUAUUCCCUGACUGCCCAGCAUAGUCUGGGGCACAGCUGGUACACCAUAACUCCCCAGGAUGAUCUGGCCAUAGGUUUCUGAGUUACCAGGGAUGCUAGAAUACUCGGAGAGCUGAACUUGAUGUACUCUUGACAGUCUGGGAAGUCAGUGCCUAGGAGACAGCCUCACUGAGAGAAAAGGCAUAUGCUCGCCUUGUCCUCCUGCCCUCAUCCACAGUCCCUGAUGUCUACAGCAAGCUUCCUGGCUCCCCUAGUCCCCUGUCUCGGCCGAGGAAGGGGAGAGAGUUCAAUAGGAGGCUAAAAUGUGGCAUUGAUUCCCAUCUGACCUUGGAGGCCAUCUUAAAUGGAUGACAUUGGAAAGGAGGAGAUUAUUCUCCCUGCAGAGGUCAAGGCUGCAUUUGAUCUGAAUUAUUACUGUCCUGACCCCGUCCUUCCCUUGCAAAACCUGGAACUGAUUCUGUGGGUGGCUUUUUAAAAAUUUAAAGUGGUCAGAAAUGUUUCCAGUUCUGUGUUCUCUUGUGGAUUGUUGCAAACAUGUGUUGGGGGCUGAGCAAAAACUCCAACCAGGGUAGCAGCAGGCUUAGUCUAAUCUAACCUUUGUUCUUGCUUUGUCUGAGACUGAGGCAAAACAAAAACAACAAGAAUAAAAAAAAAAUCAAAAAACAAAAUCAAAAAACCAGAAGAGUCUCUUCUAGUUUCUUGUAUUUUAAUACCCAUUUCUCUUUUUCUUGUCUCAAUUGGAAAUGGCCUGGAGCGAACUUCUUAGGGCCAAUGGGUGUAUCGUUGGCUUCUGUGAAGUCGGGCAAGGCUUCCUGGGCCUCCUUGGUCCUCUCUCCCCAAAAGCAGCAUUCCAAAGCUGUGUGCACAUAGGCUGUGAUUCCUGACCUUGGUACCCCAGGACUGUCUGUGUCCUCUGAGGUAUUCUGGAAGCCGCUGUCUACUCACCAGGCCUUCUCCUUUCUCUGUUCCACAGGGACUGCGGCUCUUCUCAUCCAGCCUGGGUGAUGGGAUCCAUUCUCUGUCCAAUAGCCAGAGGACACUGUGGAGGACCUAUUGUGUUCCCAAGACAUUAAGUCAACUGCUGGCUGUGCCCUUUCCCUGCCACCAUCAUUUGUGGGUUCUGGAAAUUUCUUCGCCAUGGCCCCAGGAUCUUCAGCUUCAGCCAAAAUGCUGAUCUUUUUUUUUAAAGUUUACUUCUUGGCUACAUCCCUCUCAACCCCAGCUCUGCACAUUUUGUUCCCUCUCCUCUUUCAUCCAGGCAAGCCUCCUCUUCUCUGGACAGGGAGUGUCCUCAUGAACAACAGAAUCCCAGAAAAAAAAAAUAAAGAGAAAGUGGCUGAAGAGUCAAGGGGAGCGAAGGCAGAACGGUUGUCUGGAGCGUUAUUGGUUCUGGGCCUCCAGUGCUUGCCAAGUGAGGCAGAGCAGUUCACAGAGCUCUGAGAUUAGUGAGAGAAACACCUGGCAAAAGCUGGGGUAAGCAGAACUCAGCACAGCGAAGUAUUGAAGUAUUGAAAAUUCCAUUCCAGGUACAGAGGGAAGCGUGUGGUAACGGUUAUUCUACCAAACAUCAGACAUGGUUUGCGUUGGUUUGCCUUCGUUGCUUUUACCUUUGCAAGGACAAGAAAAAUGAUGCAGGGAGCUGAUGGCUUGUCCUUGGUUCUGUCCACUAGGCUAAGCUCUGCGUGCUCCAAAAACCUUGGGAGAGAGUAAGAAAGAUAUGUUGGGCAUUGCAAGAUAAAGACCAGAGUUAUUAGGAAAGAAGAACAACACAUGCCUAGGAGAUUCAGCAACCCCUGAAAGGCAGCAUCUCCAGAAGGAGUACCUGCCUGCGCGGCCCACUUGCAAGCUCAGGUUUGGAGAUGGAUUCGAUGAGACACAGCAGGAACAGGCCAACCCUCUGAAGGGUGUCAGAGAAACAGGAUAACAGUCAGCUGUGGAUUGUGAAAUGUGCAAAACAACAAAACGCACCAGUUGGAAUAAAGGAAUGGCAAGAAGUGGGAGCCAGCACUUAGGAAAGAUUGUGUAACGGAUGAGGAAACUAGCCACCGCCUAAACCACAAGGACUUCUGGGAUCAUCUUGUCGGCAUUCACCACGUGACUUCAUAGUUUCUCUUGCAAGAGGCGUGGGUUGCAUUUUCCCAUCUUUGAUUUAGCUUGAGGGCAGUGGGACGGGACGGCCAUUGCAGAGAGCCUAUUAACAGCCUAGACAGAAUGUCUCUGCCUUCUUCUGCCUCUCUAUCACCACGAGGAUGGGCCGUGGUGAGUUGUUCUGACAUGGACAGGAGCUGUAAGGCAGAGGAUGGCUUUGAUGACCCAUAGACCCCAGCUGGAGCCAGAGCCACGAGCACAGCGCGGUAGCUGGAAGGAGGGUUGCACCAGCUGAGCCUGGGCAGGACCAGACAUGCUGAUCCAUCUCCAGUACAGAAUAUACUUAUGUUUCAAGUUUUAAGGCUGUUUAUUGGCAACAUUUUUUUGUUGCGUUGGUUAUAAUUAUGUAAAUAAUAACCAAAUUACAAAUGUCAUUUUUUCCAUGAAGGAGAAAUAUGAAUAUAAUAAUGAAAUAAGCUGACUUUAUCUAGGCACGAAGAAAAGGUUUUUCUAAAAAUUUGAGGGCCAGUGGAUAAAGACACCUGCUACCAAGUUUGACAACCUGAGUUAGGUUCUUAGAACCCAUAUGGUAGGAGAAAACGGAUUCUUACAAGAUUUCCUCUGACUUCUACAUGAGCGCUGAGGCAUGUAUAUAUAUAAAUAUAUAUAUUUACAUACAAGUGUAUCCUCCCUCCCCUCCACACAUGAUAAAAUGAAAAUAAUGUUUUAGGGGCUUAAGAGAUGACAAUUCUGUGGUUAAGAACACUUGUUACUGCUCUAGAAGACACAAGUUUUAUUCUUUGCACACCCCGGGCAAUGACCAAUUCUUGGAUAUUUAGCACACUUUUCUGGUCCUUGUGGGCACCAGAUACACAUGUAGUACACAUGCAUGCUUGUAGGCAAACACAUGUACACGUAAAAAUAAAUCUAGGAAAAGCAAAAGAACAAGCUAACACUUAAGCUGAGAUCCCAAAUCUUCACAGGAAUCAAAUGGUAGGCGCUAACUCACUGAGCCAUGUUAGAACGAGAACACAUCUGGCUGCUGUAGAGAGCAGGACUGAUAUGAUGAAUAAAUUAAAGGAACAAUCGUUAGAUUGGCUUACAGCCAUCAGAGCGGUGGGCCCAACAGUGGCCGUCUUCACACCAGAGAGGCUUCGAGUAUGGGAGCUUCUCAAUCCAUGAGACUGAAUGCCUCAGCAGUCCCAACUGAAGUCCAGAAGAUGACUGGAGAGUCGUGGCUCGUCUUCUGUCCACAUUGGGUGGCCAACAGAGCUACUUUUGACAUCAGCAAAAAAUGCAGCAGCAGCAACAGAGUAGGUGAACUCACCAUCAAGAUAUAAAGGCAAAGAGGCAAAAACCAAAGCUUUCAAGCACUGCAAGCCUCUUCGACCAUUGCUUCCUGGUUUCUGUGGAGUGCCUACGGAGACUGUUGUGCCCUCAGACAUGCCAGAGUGUGUGACGGAUGGGUCAUAGAAGGCUAGCAGCAUGUACAGAAACAACCUAUGGUAGAGGAGCUUCCAGACUGUCUUAGACAUCAGAACCAAGUGGUGUUUCUUUACAAACAUUGUAAGCGUGAGAGCCUUGGACAAAGAGCAGUCUACAGGCUGAACCUUGGUGGGAAGAACGUAAGCGUUGGUUCAGGAUGCACUAGACUUCAAAGAACGAGCAAGGUCAGGAGCAGACAGGAGCUGGACGUGCAACCUGGAUCUGUUAGCUUGUACAUGUUUGGGAAGGCUCUCUACUGGUUAUAGAAACAUCUUGUCCUCUGCACACCUUACUAGAGUCCGUCUGAAGGACUACAGCAAAUUCACCAGAGGCAGUGACAGCUCAGGAUGAUGGACAAGCUGUACCUGGCCCGGAUCAGCUUCGUUUUCUUCUUGUGGUCCACAUCCAUGGGAGGAGGGGAGGAACGACUUUACUGGACCAUUUAUGUGACGAACCUGUGGUGUCUGGUCAGCCAGAAACGAAGAAUUGGCUGUUAUUAAGAGACCAGCAUCACUAAGGCGAAGUCUUCUUGGAAGUGUUUCCUCAGGGUCAGCACACAGAAGCUGUGUCCCCAAAGCAUCCAAGGCUGUACCUGGCAUUAGCGGGUGAAUUUGGUGCUAUAAGAGUCACUCAGGUGGUACUGGUUUUGAAGGCAUGAGGAGUCAUGGAGAACAACUGGGGCUUGGCACUGUGCCCAGAAGAGAGCCCAGGAGAGGCUACUGGUAAAAGGACAGCCCACUUGUAGCAAGAGACCCCAGAAUUUUGGAGAUGGCAGUACCAUGGAAUGACCACCAAGAACAGCAGCAGGGAUGGAAUGGAGCCUAGAAGAAGCCUCUGUGUGUGCUGCAGAGGGCGGAGCUGGAGAAAUAACCCAAGCCCCUUAGAGGAGCCCAGAAGAUGGUGAAUAUAUCUCAGAUAAUCGGACAUUGAUUUAUUUGUGCUGUUGGACUUCGCUUUUUGCUUUAAUCUGUUUGUGACUGUACCCUGGAUUUCCCACUUGAAGUAAGAAUUUAACUUAACUUUUAUUUGUGCAGAAACCCACAGUUGAGAGAUUUUGAACUUUUUAAAGAGAUUUUGGAUUUUGAAAGAGACCGGAUUGUUUGAAAGCACUGAACUUUUAAUGUGUUUGAAUUUGUAAAGGCUGUGGGACUUUUAAAGUUAUUUAUGUUUUUAAUGUAAGACCUUGGGGGAUGAGUGAGAAAGCAAAGGUUGUGGUUUAACAGUGAUGUGCUUUAAUGUCAAGUUGACAAGGGGUCAGUUGUGCUGGAUAAUUUUAUGUCAACUUGACAUCUGAGAGGCAGGAACCUCCAUCAAGAAACUGCUUCCAUAAGAUUUGACUGUAGACAAGCCUGUAGGGUGUUUUCUUAAUUAAUUAUUGAUGGGGGAGGGCCCAACCCAUAGUUGGUGGUGCCACCCUGGCCUGCUUGUCCUGGGUUCUAUAAGAAAGCAGGCUGAGCAAGUCCAUGAGGAGCAAGUCAGUAAGCAGCACCCCCUCCAUGGCCUCUGCACCAGCUCCUGCCACCAGGUUCCUGCCCUGCUUGAGUUCCUGUCCUUUUCAUGAUGAUCUGCUAUAAGACAAUGUGAAUGAGAUAAGCCCUUUCCUUCCCAAGUUGCUUUUGGUCAUGGUGUUUUUCCACAGUUAUAGUGACCCUGACUAAGACAGUUUCUGUUGGUUGUCUAGAGCCAGAUAGUAAAUCAGGUGACACCAUGUUUCUUCUAUGUGGCUGUGAGCAGAACACCUGGAUAAUCAAGGAAACUUGAAGAUGGCUUUAAUUUAGCUCUUGACUGCAGAGGGCUCAGUCCAUGUUAUUUGGGACCACAAGGUUGAGCAGAAUAUAUAUAUUAAGCUGAAGCAGUUUUAUUGCAAUCUUUCAAAAUUAGCAUUACAGAAAAUAUUUAUAUCCACAAAACUUGUCUUAAUCUACAGUACGGCUAUUUCAAAAGUAGUUAAAUUUAAUUAACAAUUAAGAAGAUAACAUAAUAUUACGAUGGCAGAAGGGAGAGGUGCAGGAAUUUAUUUACCUCAUGGUCAACAGGGAGCUGAGUGAGGCCUUCACAGCAAGGAUCUAGAGCAGGAGAUAGUCCCUAAAGUCAACCUCCAGCGACCUACUUCCUCCCACCACCUUCAGGUCCCACCCUUUGCAGCUUCACCACUUCCCAGGGUUCAAUCACUCAUCCCUGAGUUAGACCAGAGGUUCUCAACCUUCCUAAUGUUGCAACCCUUUAAUAAAGACAGUUCCUCAUGUUGUGGUGACCCCCAACCAUAAACUGAUUUUUUUAAAUUUCAUAACUGUAAUUUUGCUAUUGUUAUGAAUCACACUAUGAGUAUCUGUGUUUUCUGGUGGUCUUAGGUGACCCCUGUGAAGGGUCUUUUGAUCCCCAGGUUGAGAACCACUGGACUAAACCAUUCAUGAGAUCAGAGCCCUCUAGUCUUUGGAGACCAGAGGUGUGCUUUACUAACCUGGUUCUGCCUUAGGCUAAGAAGUGACAAGAUUUUGCUUGUCAUGUCUCAUCUGCUCAGGGAUUUUCCUUAGCAUUCCCAGGGCUGAGGCAGGUGGAGACAUUAGCCUUAGGGCUGUCAGGAGUAGUGUUUGUGGUACCCCGAGGAAAAGAGUUUUCAUACAGCUUUUAUAAAUUAGUUUCUGACUGACACGGGCUUAUUAAGUACCAAGGUGGUAGUGUCUAAACCCAAGCCCCCGUCUGCAGGGAUCAACUUGAAGUGGAAACAGUUUUGAUGGCCUGUGUCUAAAUUGGCCCUGUGUCUCUGCA